This is a non-coding RNA of Pelobates cultripes (western spadefoot toad), 449 nucleotides long. NCBI's taxonomy places the organism in Eukaryota, Metazoa, Chordata, Amphibia, Anura, Pelobatidae. The record is from the annotation of a GenBank genome assembly.
CCUGCAGGUAAUUAAGAUAGAUUUUUAGAUUAACCAAAAUAAGUAUAAUACUAUAGUGCUGUAGGAAAACCACUGAGCCCCUGACGUGCGCGUUUCGCCAGAGUGGCUCUUCAGAGGGCCCCAAGACAUAAGCAGCAGAUCCUUUAAGUUGUGCAAGUUGAGAGGUAGAGCCUCAAUUGAUAGGAUAGGUCAUACUCCUCAAGCCAUUCCUGAACAACUUUUGCAGUGUGGCAGAGUGCACUAUCCUGCUGAAAGAGGCCAUUGCCAUAAGGGAACAGCACUGUCAUGAAAGGGUGUACGUGGUCUGCAAUAAUCUCUAAAUAGAUGGUAUGUGUCAAAGUAACAUCCACAUGAAUGCCAGAAUCCAAGGUUUCCCAGCAAAACAUUGUCCAGAACAUAAGACUGUCUCCACCGGCCAGCCUGCCUUUUUCCCAUAGUGCAUACUGUUG